GAUGAACGCCUGCUUCUUUCCUAAUACAUUCAAGUCGAGCGCACAGACGAGGAGCUUGCUCCUCUGACGUUAGCGGCGGACGGGUGAGUAACACGUGGAUAACCUACCUAUAAGACUGGGAUAACUUCGGGAAACCGGAGCUAAUACCGGAUAAUAUAUUGAACCGCAUGGUUCAAUAGUGAAAGACGGUUUUGCUGUCACUUAUAGAUGGAUCCGCGCCGCAUUAGCUAGUUGGUAAGGUAACGGCUUACCAAGGCAACGAUGCGUAGCCGACCUGAGAGGGUGAUACGCCACACUGGAACUGAGACACGGUCCAGACUCCUACGGGAGGCAGCAGUAGGGAAUCUUCCGCAAUGGGCGAAAGCCUGACGGAGCAACGCCGCGUGAGUGAUGAAGGUCUUCGGAUCGUAAAACUAUGGGAUUAGGGAAGAACAAAUGUGUAAGUAACUAUGCACGUCUUGACGGUACCUAAUCAGAAAGCCAAGGCUAAAUACGGG
RNAcentral lists this ribosomal RNA (497 nucleotides) under uncultured bacterium. Its description in RNAcentral is "partial 16S ribosomal RNA". It matches the Rfam family "Bacterial small subunit ribosomal RNA", at positions 28 to 507 of the family's 1533-position model. The record is from RNAcentral.